This 165-nucleotide non-coding RNA is filed under the name Pseudomonas marginalis. Lineage: Bacteria; Pseudomonadati; Pseudomonadota; Gammaproteobacteria; Pseudomonadales; Pseudomonadaceae. The record is from RNAcentral.
UCGCGGGUGACUGCGAAUCUGAAGGAAGCCCGAGGCAAAAUGCUGGCCUGACGAACAGGAAGCGGAUGAGGCGGCGCAGCGGGGUAAGACGGCCACAAUCGUCAAAGCCCAAUACUUGCACGGAUCGCUGUGACGUAUAUCCGCAUAACCUGAACCGCCGUAUAC